GAGUGAUGCUAUCAAUCCUUAAGUUGCACCCAAAGGAGCCAAACCCACUGGUGGGAGCAGCAGAGAAGUUGCCAGAGAAGAGGCGAGAAUGGAGGCCAUUGUCAAAGCCUGCUAUUCUUCCUUCGUCCUCAUGCCUGCACUCGACAAAGAUGCAAUUUUUACGACGAAGAAGAAGAAGAAACACGUGUGCACUGUCAUGGGUUCAAAUAAUCCCUUCAAGCUGAGCAAAAUCUCGUGCGAAGUAUCAGAAGGUGGGGUCAAGCCUAAACAGAAACCCACCAUAAUGAGAGCGUCAGCUAUUCCCGGGAGCAGGACAGAGGAUUAUAACACAGCCAUGAAGAGGAUGAUGAGGAACCCUUAUGAAUAUCACCAUGAUCUUGGCAUGAAUUACACACUGAUAACUGAUAAUUUGAUCGUGGGCUCGCAGCCUCAGAAACCUGAAGAUAUUGAUCAUCUGAAACACGAAGAGAAUGUCGCUUACAUAUUAAACUUGCAGCAAGAUAGGGACAUUGAAUACUGGGGAAUCGACUUCCAGGCUAUCCUGAGAAGAUGUCAGGAACUUGGAAUCCAGCAUAUUAGAAGGCCGGCAAGAGAUUUCGAUCCAGAUUCGUUGAGAAGUGGAUUACCCAAAGCUGUGUCGUCUUUAGAGCGGGCAAUCUCAGAUGGAAAGGGGAGGGUUUAUGUGCACUGUACAGCUGGUCUUGGAAGGGCCCCUGCCAUUGCAGUUGCUUAUUUGUACUGGUUCUGUGGCAUGGAUAAGCUGAACAAGGCUUAUGCCUUUCUUACUGCAAAACGGCCUUGUGGACCGAAUAAAAGAGCCAUACGUGGAGCUACCUACGAUCUGGCCAAGAAUGAUCCAUGGAAGGAGCCUUUUGAGAGUCUUCCAGAAUAUGCUUUUGAAGAUAUUGCUGAUUGGGAGAGAAGCUUGAUUCAGGACCAUGUACGUUCUCUUCAUGGGACUUGAAUGGCCAUGCUAGGCUUCAUGCUCUUAAGGUGGUCAUGUUCUUGAGAUCUGAGAACUAUUUAAAGACUGGGUCUACGGAUAUCUAUGCUGAGACAACUUCUUCCCUAUGGUACCAGCAGAGGUUUGGAGUAUGGAACGAUUUUACAGAGGGUUGUUGAGGCAGAGAAUGAUGGUUUCUGUUGAUUUACUGUUACAGUCACGUAAACCUCAGUGUCUCGAGGAUUAUACAAAACUUGAUUGGAGAAGAACUUGAAACCCGUCAUCGUUUAAUAUGAAUGGUUUUAUAGUUUCAUA
This is an RNA transcript of Rhodamnia argentea, 1258 nucleotides long. It is a transcript of the gene named phosphoglucan phosphatase LSF2, chloroplastic, with no coding region annotated. The record is from RefSeq and is a predicted model, not a curated record. NCBI's taxonomy places the organism in Eukaryota, Viridiplantae, Streptophyta, Magnoliopsida, Myrtales, Myrtaceae. The transcript has 6 exons.